RNAcentral lists this long non-coding RNA (236 nucleotides) under Gallus gallus (chicken). The record is from RNAcentral. Lineage: Eukaryota; Metazoa; Chordata; Aves; Galliformes; Phasianidae.
CUCUGUUCUCUGAUUGCACUGAGUGUUAAUGCACUGAGGGAGUGCAUCCUGCAGGCUUGGAUCGAUUGCUGUGAAAGUCAUUGGCUCCUGGUGAACUUCACAACUGGGAUUCCUGCUCUCAGCAUUCGUGAGGUUGCCGGUGCAUUCGUUUACCUCCAGAGGGCACUCACAAGGGCAUUCACAUUCAUUCUGCUCCAUUCUGUGGCAGUUCAGACACAGCCUGUCCACCAUGCUGC